RNAcentral lists this small RNA (1742 nucleotides) under Rhodotorula sp. HEG-1-20. Its description in RNAcentral is "eukaryotic LSU rRNA". The stretch from base 623 to 1742 matches the Rfam family "Eukaryotic large subunit ribosomal RNA", at positions 1 to 1122 of the family's 3401-position model. Lineage: Eukaryota; Fungi; Basidiomycota; Microbotryomycetes; Sporidiobolales; Sporidiobolaceae. The record is from RNAcentral.
UUCCGGUAGGUGAACCUGCGGAAGGAUCAUUAGUGAAUUUUAGGGUGCUUUGCUUUACCGCGAAGGCCUGACCUCCACUCUCUAACCCAUUGUGCAUCAAAAAUACAACCGAACUUUGUGAUAGACUGAAAGAGCUUAACCGCUUGAUUACGUUUUUUCACAGUGAGGUUUCACCUUUAAAACACCAAGUCAAAGAAUGUAAUACAAACCAAAACAAAAUAAAACUUUCAACAACGGAUCUCUUGGCUCUCGCAUCGAUGAAGAACGCAGCGAAAUGUGAUAAGUAAUGUGAAUUGCAGAAUUCAGUGAAUCAUCGAAUCUUUGAACGCACCUUGCGCUUUUUGGCAUUCCGAAAAGCAUGCCUGUUUGAGUGUCAUGAACUCUUCAACCCACCGGUUCCUUGUUGGAUCGAGUUGGUGUUUGGAUCUUGAAUGUUGCUGGCUUGAAGAAGAGUUUUAUUACUCUUUCGAUUAGCGAAGCUCGUUCGUAAUACAUUAGCAUCUCAAUUUCGAACUUCGGAUUGACUCAGCGUGAUAGACUAUUCGCUGAGGACAUGUUUAGGCAUGGCCGAAUCAAGAUAACUAGAAGCUUCUAAUCCCCCACUAGUCAAAACUAUAAGAUUAGACCUCAGAUCAGGCAGGAUUACCCGCUGAACUUAAGCAUAUCAAUAAGCGGAGGAAAAGAAACUAACAAGGAUUCCCCUAGUAACGGCGAGUGAAGCGGGAAGAGCUCAAAUUUGUAAUCUGGCACUUUCAGUGUCCGAGUUGUAAUCUCGAGAAGUGUUUUCCGCGCUGGACCGCAUACAAGUCUGUUGGAAUACAGCGUCAUAGUGGUGAGAACCCCGUAACUGAUGCGGACGCCCAGUGCUUUGUGAUACACUUUCGAAGAGUCGAGUUGUUUGGGAAUGCAGCUCAAAUUGGGUGGUAAAUUCCAUCUAAAGCUAAAUAUUGGCGAGAGACCGAUAGCGAACAAGUACCGUGAGGGAAAGAUGAAAAGCACUUUGGAAAGAGAGUUAACAGUACGUGAAAUUGUUGGAAGGGAAACGCUUGAAGUCAGACUUGCUUUUUGGAAUUCAGCCGCAAGGUGUACUUUUCAAUUUGGCAGGCCAGCAUCAGUUUUUGGGGGUGAAAAAGGGUAUAGAGAAGGUAGCAGUCUCGGCUGUGUUAUAGCUCUUUACUGGAUUCAUCCUUGGGGACUGAGGAACGCAGCACACUUUUUGCACGGUCUUCGGACUGUUCUGUGCUUAGGAUGCUGGUGGAAUGGCUUUAAACGACCCGUCUUGAAACACGGACCAAGGAGUCUAACAUGCUUGCGAGUGUUUGGGUGUCAAACCCGGACGCGCAAUGAAAGUGAAUGCAGGUGGGAACCGCAAGGUGCACCAUCGACCGAUCUGGAUCUUUUGAGAUGGAUUUGAGUAAGAGCAAUUAUGUUGGGACCCGAAAGAUGGUGAACUAUGCCUGAAUAGGGCGAAGCCAGAGGAAACUCUGGUGGAGGCUCGUAGCGGUUCUGACGUGCAAAUCGAUCGUCAAAUUUGGGUAUAGGGGCGAAAGACUAAUCGAACCAUCUAGUAGCUGGUUCCUGCCGAAGUUUCCCUCAGGAUAGCAGAAACUCACAUCAGUUCUAUGAGGUAAAGCGAAUGAUUAGAGGCCUUGGGGUUGAAACAACCUUAACCUAUUCUCAAACUUUAAAUAUGUAGGAAGUCCUUGCUUCUUAAUUGAGCGAGGACAUGCGAAUGAGAGUUA